This 467-nucleotide ribosomal RNA is filed under the name uncultured bacterium. RNAcentral's name for it is "partial 16S ribosomal RNA". It matches the Rfam family "Bacterial small subunit ribosomal RNA", at positions 28 to 506 of the family's 1533-position model. The record is from RNAcentral.
GACGAACGCUGGCGGCGUGCUUAACACAUGCAAGUCGAACGGAAAGGCCCUGCUUUUGUGGGGUGCUCGAGUGGCGAACGGGUGAGUAACACGUGAGUAACCUGCCCUUGACUUUGGGAUAACUUCAGGAAACUGGGGCUAAUACCGGAUAGGAGCUCCUGCUGCAUGGUGGGGGUUGGAAAGUUUCGGCGGUUGGGGAUGGACUCGCGGCUUAUCAGCUUGUUGGUGGGGUAGUGGCUUACCAAGGCUUUGACGGGUAGCCGGCCUGAGAGGGUGACCGGCCAAUUGGGAACUGGGAUACGGCCCAGACUCCUAGGGGGGGGAGCAGGGGGGAAUAUUGCACAAGGGGCGGAAGCCUGAUGCAGCAACGCCGCGUGGGGGAUGACGGCCUUCGGGUUGUAAACCGCUUUCGCCUGUGACGAAGGGUGGGUGACGGUAAUGGGUAAAGAAGCACCGGCUAACUACGU